UCCCUGGAGGACUAGUGGUUAGGCCUCAGCGCUCUCACCACCGCAGCCCGGGUUCAAUUCCUGGCUAGGGAA
This 72-nucleotide transfer RNA is filed under the name Pangasianodon hypophthalmus (striped catfish). It matches the Rfam family "tRNA". From Rfam's summary of the family: Transfer RNA (tRNA) molecules are approximately 80 nucleotides in length. Lineage: Eukaryota; Metazoa; Chordata; Actinopteri; Siluriformes; Pangasiidae. The record is from Rfam by way of RNAcentral.